CCAAUAGCGUAUAUUAAAGUUGUUGCAGUUAAAAAGCUCGUAGUUGAAUUUCGGGAUCAGUAGGUCGGUCGUGCCACUGGUAUGAACUGGUCUCACUGGUUCCUCCCUCUUGACGAACUGCAAUGCUAUUAAUUAAGUGUUGUAGGAAAUCAGGACUGUUACUUUGAAAAAAUUAGAGUGUUUAAAGCAGGCUUUGGCUUGAAUACAUUAGCAUGGAAUAAUGAAAUAGGACGUUCGAUCCUAUUUUGUUGGCUUCUAGGAUUGACGUAAUGAUUAAUAGGAACAGUUGGUGGCAUUAGUAUUCAAUUGUCAGAGGUGAAAUUCUUGGAUUUAUUGAAGACUAACUACUGCGAAAGCAUUUGCCAAGGAUGUUUUCAUUAAUCAAGAACGAAAGUUAGGGGAUCGAAGACGAUCAGAUACCGUCGUAGUCUUAACCAUAAACUAUGCCGACUAGGGAUCGGAUGAUGUUAAUUUUUUAAUGACUCAUUCGGCGCCUUACG
RNAcentral lists this unclassified non-coding RNA (500 nucleotides) under uncultured Glomus. Its description in RNAcentral is "SSU rRNA". It matches the Rfam family "Eukaryotic small subunit ribosomal RNA", at positions 591 to 1092 of the family's 1831-position model. Lineage: Eukaryota; Fungi; Glomeromycota; Glomeromycetes; Glomerales; Glomeraceae. The record is from RNAcentral.